AAAGGAAAAUUAAGGAAGUUUUUCAAAGAACCCUAUUCCGAGUAAGAAAUGUGUUGCAUGAAUUUCUAAGGUCUCUGAAAAGCAACUUAUUCACUGGAGAUGUGAGGAGCCAUCCACACAUCACAAUUCUAUAGACAUCAAACGCAUGAAGCAUUUCGGAUCUGCUUUAAGACUGAGGCAGACUUUCCAUCUGGACACAGCCGACCAUCCAUGUGUCAUUACAAUGAAUCCAGCACUUCCCUGGAAGCUGGAAGGGUCAAAUUCAACUUCAGCUCUGCCACUUGCUGCUUAACUUGCUGUUUAACCUUGGGCAAGCUGCCAUCCCACACGAGGCCGAAGGUGUCGGUUUUUAAAAUACAGAAAUUGGGUUCCAUGAGGGAUUAUCAAUAUACUGCUGGUGGGCCAAAUUCCAUCUGCUACUUGCCUUUGUAAAUAAAGUUUUAUUGAAACACAAA
This 455-nucleotide non-coding RNA is filed under the name Pan troglodytes (chimpanzee). Lineage: Eukaryota; Metazoa; Chordata; Mammalia; Primates; Hominidae. The record is from RNAcentral.